UACGAAGGGGGCUAGCGUUGUUCGGAAUUACUGGGCGUAAAGCGCGCGCAGGCGGUUUUUCAAGUCAGUGGUGAAAGCCCGGAGCUCAACUCCGGAAAUGCCAUUGAAACUGUGAAACUUGAGGACGAGAGAGGAGACUGGAAUUUACGGUGUAGCGGUGAAGUGCGUAGAUAUCGUAAGGAAGACCAGUGGCGAAGGCGGGUCUCUGGACAGUUCCUGACGCUGGGGCACGAAGGUCAGGGGAGCAAACGGG
This 253-nucleotide ribosomal RNA is filed under the name uncultured bacterium. Its description in RNAcentral is "partial 16S ribosomal RNA". It matches the Rfam family "Bacterial small subunit ribosomal RNA", at positions 524 to 776 of the family's 1533-position model. The record is from RNAcentral.